RNAcentral lists this ribosomal RNA (429 nucleotides) under Verrucomicrobiota bacterium. Its description in RNAcentral is "Verrucomicrobia bacterium partial 16S ribosomal RNA". It matches the Rfam family "Bacterial small subunit ribosomal RNA", at positions 355 to 776 of the family's 1533-position model. Lineage: Bacteria; Pseudomonadati; Verrucomicrobiota. The record is from RNAcentral.
UAGGGAAUCUUCCGCAAUGGACGAAAGUCUGACGGAGCAACGCCGCGUGAGUGAAGAAGGAUUUCGGUUCGUAAAACUCUGUUGUUAGGGAAGAAAAAAUGUAUAGUAACUAUAUACAAAAGAGACGGUACCUAACCAGAAAGCCACGGCUAACUACGUGCCAGCAGCCGCGGUAAUACGUAGGUGGCAAGCGUUGUCCGGAAUUAUUGGGCGUAAAGCGCGCGCAGGUGGUUUAGAAAGUCUGAUGUGAAAGCCCACGGCUCAACCGUGGAGGGUCAUUGGAAACUAAUAAACUUGAGUGCAGGAGAGAAAAGUGGAAUUCCUAGUGUAGCGGUGAAAUGCGUAGAGAUUAGGAGGAACACCGGUGGCGAAAGCAGCUUUUUGGCCUGCAACUGACACUGAGGCGCGAAAGCGUGGGGAGCAAACAGG